UCCAAAAUCAGAUCCUCUUAAUAAAAAAAUAACUUGUAUUAGGUCACAAAAAAUGAGUCAUUUAUGACACACCCUCAUCUCAAGUUGCCAGCAAAACCCUCGCUAAAAAACAUUUAUCGAGGGCGUAACGUCAAGAAGCGCAAGAAUUUCGCUACCCUUAUACCCCCGUAACCGGAACUGAACUAUUUUGUUACCAAAGCCAGACAACAGAAACAUCAAAAACCUCCCUUUCUCUCCCGUAAAACUUCUUUCUUUGUCGUAAAACUUUGUAUUUUGCAUAGAGUGUAAAGUUUCGCUUCCUCUGCUAUUGAUUGUGCUGCGUCGUCCUUUCCGGUGUGGUGUGGCCGAUCCUAGGGUUUGCCUGUUUGCCACACUCAAAUAUCCAUAAAUCGUGUGCAAAUCUAACGCUGCCAAUAAUUCAACAAAAAACAAGCCAUUUCACCCACAAGACACUCGUGCUGCCUUUAGAUAACUAAAUACACAUUGAUCGGUUUGCUAUUAUCCUUUGACAAGCAAGCUAGGGGAGUUUUUAUCGGUGUCUUGCUAUUAAACUGAAUUGAUUGAUUAUGUAUAGCGAUUUAAAUUGUAUGGUUCAAUUUAAUCAAGCCAAAUUAAACCCCCUCUUUAUAGAUCAAUUAAAACGUUUUAUAGUACAAUUUAUGACAUUUUCGUUAUUCCGUUGCAUUGAAGGGUUGAUCACAAACGGCAGAAUAAAAAAAAAACCCGUCUUAACGACACCCGCCUGUCCUGGUUCAAGGCCUCCCCGCCUCUUCAAUCAACAAAUUUUCCGAAAUCUAACAGGAAGACAAACAAAGCACGAUGCCAUUGUUUUCGUUUGCCGAGCAUAGUUUCCAUAAACUAACUUGUUUAAGGCGUCAAGGCCAGCCAAGGAACCGUUUCCUCCGAGGCGCGCAUGGAACAGAAACAUCGAAGGGCGCUUCUCCUCCGGGUGGAUGAUAUUAUCCUUCCGUGUAUCCGGUUCUGAUCGACGCCUUGUUCCGACAGUGUGAUUCCGAUUGGAAACGUAUAACGAAGCGCACAGAGGGAUCUGACUGCCAGGAGACGAUGGAUUUCCAAUGCGACGUCAAUAUUUUAUGCAAUAGCAACUGAUGCAGCUGAUAGUGUGCAAGGAAGUAGAUACACAACAAAAAAAAAGAUAUUUCUAUGUUCGAUAUGGUGGUGGUGUUGUUCUCCCUUUUUUUUUGGGAAUGUUGACGAUUCCGGAGAUGAGCAAUCGAGCAAAAGUGUGUGGGAAAUGUGAGGACAGGGAGUGAAAAAAUAGCCCCCGGCCGGCUAUAAAAUGCAGUCGAAUUAAUGUCCAGACCAAAUUGAAUGACCAUCGAUUUCCGUGGUCACCACAGUACAAUUAAUAUUCGGAAUUCAGACCGAUAAAAAAGCUAUCAUGUUCUAUUAUAAUAAAACGACUCGUAUGUAUUGCUGCUAUCUAUCUUUCAUACUAACUAUUAAAGUUUCAUUUUUUCGACUUAAAUUAGUUGUCUUGCCUCAUUUAGAAAGUGUUUUCUUGAAGGGAAGCAAUGAAGGGUUCAGAAUUACUGUCAUGCCUU
This is a long non-coding RNA of Anopheles stephensi (Asian malaria mosquito), 1565 nucleotides long. RefSeq lists it as uncharacterized. The transcript is spliced from 3 exons. The record is from RefSeq and is a predicted model, not a curated record. Lineage: Eukaryota; Metazoa; Arthropoda; Insecta; Diptera; Culicidae.